Long non-coding RNA from Astatotilapia calliptera (eastern happy), 1674 nucleotides. The record is from Ensembl. NCBI's taxonomy places the organism in Eukaryota, Metazoa, Chordata, Actinopteri, Cichliformes, Cichlidae.
UAAUGUUUUUCUAUUACAGGAUUUCUGGGCGGAUGUGUGAAGAAACGGUGUUUAUGGGUUAGGAGUUGGGGAUGCUAUUACACUGUAUUCUGGUGAGAGUGUUGGGGGAGACACACCCUGUCUUGACAACUGUGAUUCUUUUACAGGAAAUGUUUUAUAGCACCUAUGGAAUGAGGAUGCCUGACUACGGUCAAUGUGCUGCUAAUGUUUGCUUUGCUUUGGUGAGAGGGGUGCAGUAGAAAACAGACAAGUGACAUGAAAACAAGUAAUAAUAACAAAUAACAAAUUUGGGGACAGUUUGACCUAGAGCCCACUAACUGGCCAUUAGGGGCUCUCGCGCUCUCUCUCUCUCUCUCUCUCUCUCUCUCUCUCUCUCUCUCUCUCUCUCUCUCUCGCUCUCUCUCUCGCUCUCUCUCUCUCUCUCUCUCUCUCUCUCUCUCUCUCUCUCUCUCUCUCUCUCUCUCUCUCUCUCUCUCUCUCAGGUUGUUGCUCUUUAACUCCUAGAACACGCCCUUGGCGAGGUGGGGGGAACUGGACCACCUUUCUGUGCCCCAUCAUCCUCUAUUAGACGACAUCCAAGCUAAGUAAACAUGUCUUGGCCCUUUCCCCCUGAAAUGACAGGCAGGCAAAGAUGUUGCGUAUUUGUUUGCUUCCUGGCCCUGGGUCUCAUUCCCAUUGGCAUAAUCCUGAUCUGUGAAGGGCCCCCGACACUUAUGACACCUUCAAGUUCAAAAGCUUCGCCCCCUUCUGACAGUCCCAAUCUGACAAAUGUAGCCCCUAGGGUCUUGCCCACCACUUCCUCUCCAGUUUUACCAUAUUCACUUUUGAAUGUCCUUAGCAGUUACCGUUCUGAGUUUAUUUUACGGUUGAUUUAUUCUUUCACAUUUUCACGUUUAUAUCUCUCAUUAUUAUAGUAUACUCUGUACUCUCCACAUUUUUAUCAUUACUUAUGCUUUUUGGUUGCUGAGUUACAGGAACUGUUAAUUUUGUGUCACUACCCUGGUUGCACUAACUCGUUGUACCCUUGUGUGCAGGACAGCUGGUACUGCUUUCAUCGGGAACCGAGACUGCUUGCAGCCGACCCCUGGGCAGGGUGGUGCCUGGACUCUUUUCUCCUCAUCUGCAAUGACAGAUAAAGACAAAUGAAAAGACCCGAGGAGUUUUUCGAGCCAGGCUUCGACACGUCUCUGUGUUCCUUUGAUUGUUACUUAUUUUUGUGUGUUGACCCAUUUAAGAUGGGUCAAAAGGGGGAUUUGAAGAAAAUAUUGUUCAGCUUUAAACAUUAUUCAGCUUUAAAUAUUGUUCAGCUUUAAACAUUAUUCAGCUUUAAAUAUUGUUCAGCUUUAAACAUUAUUCAGCUUUAAAUAUUGUUCAGCUUUAAACAUUAUUCAGCUUUAAAUAUUGUUCAGCUUUAAAGUUACUGUGCAACUGUGUAAUAAAAAUGUGCUCACGACUUUGGCCUUGAGAGCGAUAAGAAGCGAUCGCCUCAUCCUGCAGGUGAAAGAUAUCUGCAAGCGAAGAGACUAGAACACCCAAGGCCGAUUUCCUUUUAUGGAGUUGUUUUUCUGCUAAUGCAGCACUUUCCUCACAACCCCCUCCUCAGGUGUCCGGUUGUCUUCAUUCUCCGCCAGCCUGGUUAAGUCAAUUCCUCCUUAACAUCUAAAAGAACCUAUU